CGGGUAUUACGGGCGUGGCUAUCUUUGAACCUGUUCCGCUGAUUGGCUACUGGACUAACAAAACAGAGUCGACUCAUCGAAGUUUGCCAAAAGUUUAUUGCUAGUUAUGUUAGCAAAGUGGCGAAUUUAUAAGCACAUAUGGCAAUAAAUAUAACGUUUUAUUAUAAAGUUGUAGAAUAAAACUGACAUUUUAUUUACCGUCCGAGUCGAAGUAUCGAAACGGGGAGUAAAACGCAUUGUUCGAACUGGACCGCCUAACAAGGCUGCCGAGGAGAGCUGUAGGUGGCACUGACAAGGCAAGCCAAAACUCAAACAGUAGGAGAAAUGCAGCCUCGUGGACUGACGGGCAACUCUGUCUGAGGAUCUCUGGUCUGGGGCUGUGGUCAUGUCUCUAGACAGGACUAACAGUUCAAGGACAAACAACCUUACAUAAAAAGGGAAUAUUAGGAUUUUCCAACAACUCUUGUUGUGAAGGUUCAGACCACUUCUCCUAGGUCCAGCAGAUGUUUUUGACUUUUAGUUUUUCAUUAUCACAAUUUUUCGGAUUAACUGGGAU
RNAcentral lists this long non-coding RNA (556 nucleotides) under Salmo trutta (river trout). RNAcentral's name for it is "lncRNA (ENSSTUG00000023279.1)". Lineage: Eukaryota; Metazoa; Chordata; Actinopteri; Salmoniformes; Salmonidae. The record is from RNAcentral.